RNAcentral lists this long non-coding RNA (525 nucleotides) under Anser brachyrhynchus (Pink-footed goose). Its description in RNAcentral is "lncRNA (ENSABRG00000021297.1)". The record is from RNAcentral. Lineage: Eukaryota; Metazoa; Chordata; Aves; Anseriformes; Anatidae.
UACAACACUAUAACAUCACCAGAUACACUUGUCUACCCUCAUCAGCUUAAGGUUCUCUUGCUUCAGACCUGAAAACUUUGAAUCAGAAUAUUAUGUAACAGGCAUUCUCUUCCCAAAUGUGCCUUGUCUCUCUGGAUCUGGAGGAGAACGGUUUAAAUCCUUCUUCACAUUUUCAGAAGUACUUUAUCAGCUGUUGUUAAUGGAGGAAAACUACCUGUCAUCAGAUUUAUGCAGAGUUGAGAGUGAGUGAAUGCUGCCAUCACUGAAGUUGCCAUCUAUUUCACAUUGAUUGAGUUUCCUGAGCUUGAGGGAUUUUUGCAGGGCUGGAUUUUUAUGGUUGAUAUGUUUUUGGUCAUUUGUCAUAAAAUCAUUCCAACUGAGCUGUUUACCAGUCUGAAUACUUAAUUACUGCAGUAGCAAGGAAUGGCAUAAGCUUUAGUUUUUUACUGAAUAUCAUACAAGAAUGUAGUUGAUACUUGUCUCUUCUUCCUGUGAGGAUUUUACCUGUAAGCAUCUAUUUAAUUU